RNAcentral lists this ribosomal RNA (229 nucleotides) under uncultured bacterium. Its description in RNAcentral is "partial 16S ribosomal RNA". It matches the Rfam family "Bacterial small subunit ribosomal RNA", at positions 568 to 796 of the family's 1533-position model. The record is from RNAcentral.
UACGCAGGCUGGCAGCUAAGUCAGUGGUGAAAUCCCACCGCUCAACGGUGGAACUGCCAUUGAUACUGGUUGUCUUGAGUACAGUAGAGGUAUGCGGAAUGUGACAUGUAGCGGUGAAAUGCAUAGAUAUGUCAUAGAACACCGAUUGCGAAGGCAGCAUACUGGACUGUAACUGACGCUGAGGUACGAAAGCGUGGGGAGCGAACAGGAUUAGAUACCCUGGUAGUCC